CAGCCGCCGCGGGAAUACGUAGGUGGCAAGCGUUGUCCGGAAUUAUUGGGCGUAAAGCGCGCGCAGGUGGUUUAAUAAGUCUGAUGUGAAAGCCCACGGCUCAACCGUGGAGGGUCAUUGGAAACUGUUAAACUUGAGUGCAGGAGAGAAAAGUGGAAUUCCUAGUGUAGCGGUGAAAUGCGUAGAGAUCAGGAGGAACACCAGUGGCGAAGGCGGCUUUUUGGCCUGUAACUGACACUGAGGCGCGAAAGCGUGGGGAGCAAACAGGAUUAGAUACCCCAGUAGUCCCUGUCUCUUAUAC
RNAcentral lists this ribosomal RNA (301 nucleotides) under uncultured bacterium. RNAcentral describes it as "partial 16S ribosomal RNA". It matches the Rfam family "Bacterial small subunit ribosomal RNA", at positions 509 to 807 of the family's 1533-position model. The record is from RNAcentral.